UCUCACUGUCACUAUACUUAGAAAUAACAUGUAGCGGAUUUUUAGAGAAAAAUUAGAUUUGUACUUCUUGGAUUCCUACGAACGAAUUUUUCGUCAUAAAGCUUUUCAGAUUCUGUCAAGCUAAAUACAAGGAAAAACAUUCUGGAAGAAUUAACCAGAAAAAAUCUGGGUCGCACGUUGAUUAAUGUGUUGUGUUAUCAUUCUUUAACUCUUCUUCUACAUUCUUUCACCCGAUUAUAUCUUGUCUAUGUUAAAAACUCUUAAAGUAAAAAUAAUCUUGAAUAAGAUAAACAAAAUUAAGAAAUACAAAGAAUUUUGAAAUUGAAAAAAAUGCAAUAGUAUCGUAAUAAAAGCAAAGGGUGUUAAACGCAGAAUGUUGAGGAAUUUUGAGUGGUUCCUAAACUACGCCACUGUGGAUCCCUUCAUCGUCAUAAAGUAGAAAAGGGGAAAAGCAGGGAAAGAAGAAAAAGGGAGGGGGAUGCGCGAGGUCCUCUUUUCCUCCACUUUGUCGAAUGUUCCUUUUGUACUUAGCCCCGACGUAGGCGAUAACAGCGAUGGGAAGAAGAGGAACGUGACACCAGUGGGCUGCCUUGAUGCGAUAACGUUGGAUUUGAUGUGGAUUACGGCGUACAUCAUAGGACUUUGUUUCAUAGCGAUUUUCGUCGACAUUUUGGUAAUCUUGUCCGUUGGAAUCCUUCUAUGGAAGACUCAUCGGGAAAAUAAGUAAUGAAAAUGAGCGGAAAACAGAGGGAGACGAGCAGGAAGCUGACAUUAUAUCGAUGUAGCAGGCUUGCAUGAUGGAAUUACGUUUUGCAACUGCGGAUAAAGUUGAAGUUACGUUGCCUCUUGAAGUUAGUUCACCGGUGUGGCAUAAGUUUGAGAUUAAUUUAACCCUUGAAUAUAAACAGAGGAGCAGCGACAGGGACCUGAUAUAUGGAUCCGCGAUGCCUAUUAACGAUCAACAUAAAAGCAUGAAACAGGAACAAAACUGUGGAAAAAAUGAAUGAACCCAUGCCUUCGCCCGUUGAAAAUUAUUCAAUUACACCGCUUGAAGUUUUUCUUUGUGUGAAUUUCUAUUACCUAUAAAUUAAAUACAUUAAUGUCUUUCUUGAA
Bombus pascuorum is the source of this 1113-nucleotide long non-coding RNA. RefSeq lists it as uncharacterized. The record is from RefSeq and is a predicted model, not a curated record. The transcript has 2 exons. Lineage: Eukaryota; Metazoa; Arthropoda; Insecta; Hymenoptera; Apidae.